AUACUUACCUGGCAGGGGGGUUGCAGUGAUCACAAAGGUGGUUUUCCCAGGGUGAGGCUUAUGCAUUGCACUCCAGAUCUGCUGACUCCUGCGAUUUCCCCAAACUUGGGAAACUCAACCACAUGAUUUGUGAUAGUGGGUGCCUGUGUUCACACGUUCUCUCC
This is a small nuclear RNA of Hippopotamus amphibius kiboko, 164 nucleotides long. RefSeq annotates it as U1 spliceosomal RNA. The record is from RefSeq and is a predicted model, not a curated record. The transcript has a single exon. NCBI's taxonomy places the organism in Eukaryota, Metazoa, Chordata, Mammalia, Artiodactyla, Hippopotamidae.